Long non-coding RNA from Daktulosphaira vitifoliae (grape phylloxera), 1564 nucleotides. RefSeq lists it as uncharacterized. The record is from RefSeq and is a predicted model, not a curated record. The transcript is spliced from 3 exons. Lineage: Eukaryota; Metazoa; Arthropoda; Insecta; Hemiptera; Phylloxeridae.
CCAUAUUGUUAUUGAUAAAGCUGAAUCCUACUGUAUUUUUUACACACUGGUUAUCUGCAAGAACAUUGUUUAAUACACACGACGUCCACUUAAAUACAUCCAACGUACAUGAAUUUCUACAUGAGAAAAAUCGUACAAUGGCGAAACGUAACAUUUGAUAUUUUCAAUAGGUCGUCAAUACAGCGAAGGUCUAAUUACACGAAGUAAAUGUUUGUUCAAUAGUCGACUUGUCGAGGGUUCUUAAAUUUAUACAUCCAGUUUGUAUGCAGCUCGAAUAUUAGGGUAUUUUUUUAAACGUCCAGUACAACAAUGGAGUCGGAUGAGCAUAAACGUUUUUAUAAAGAUAAUUUGUAUGAGCGUACAUUUGCGGUGAAACCCGAUACAUAACAAAAAGUAUUAACUUCCGAUGCGGGACAUAAACAUUUUAUUGGAUAACAAAGCGAAAAAAGUUCACGGCAGAGUUAGGAAUUUUCUAAGCGGGGGACGCGAUUAAUCUAUUCAAAUAUUGUGAACAUGUGGGUAGAUAAAUUGUAAUUUAUACUAAUGGAUUACACGAUUUAAGAAGAAAUUAUACAUGUUUUACAGUUCCAAUAAUCUGACAAGGUUAUAACUUUUGUUAUCCUCGAGUUUGGAUAGCCGCCACAUGAAAACUAAAAGGUUCUUUUUUACGGACAAUAUGUACACUAUAGAACCUUAUGGGUUUCAUAUCGAGUAGUAUAUCGUUUAUAUAAUAUACAUAUUAAUUUAUUAUUUUGUUUCAGUUAAAGGUAUUACAUGAUUAUUGAAACCACAAGUUCUAGAUAAGUAUAUGAUAAGUAAAUUUCGAUAACGUUUUACAUGUAAUUCAUAUAAAAAUAUUCGUACAAAUUGAUGUGCGUGUAUAAAAAUACAAACAAUAAUAAGCUAAUCAUGAAUUUUGUUUUGUUUUUACAACUCAGUAGUAGAUUUUCGGUUAUUUAUAACACAAUAAACAGUAUAACGAAAAAAUUAGCAGUAUACAAUGCCUUGUAAUAAACGUUGAUAUUUUGACAGCUUGUGAAUAUCAUGGCCGUCUUUGCGAUAUUGUGCUUCUAUGGUAUUUAACCCCUUCAAGUGGCAGCCAGAUGCAGCAUUAUGUGUACACAACGAGUUGUUCAACCCCAAUAAGCGUAUAUAAUGUGCACCGGUGGUGUUCGGCCAGCAAAAUAAACAUUGUGGAUAUUUUUAAUGAUAAUAAACAGUUUUAUAAUGCAUCAUCAUGUUAUAAUGAACCAAAUAGUGACCAACACAUUUACAAUGGUCACAUACAAAGAACCACGAUUAAUUAUUCUUUGUAAGUGUAGACCGAGUACUUGAAUCAAGUAUCAGUAUUAAUAUGGUCAUGUAUAAUGUAGCUAAUGAAAAUAAUAUUCGUUUUGUUUAGUCAUAUAGCCGUUAAAUCGUCUACACUUAACUGAAAAUUCAAGUGAACGGUUAGUUAAGGCCUCCAGAAAAGUAUUCUGCCUAAGUAUGCAAAUUAUACAAUCACUUUAUAACUUCUCUAUAAUUAUUUAGUAAAGAUCACAAUACUGAACUAUUUAAUAAC